This 1146-nucleotide ribosomal RNA is filed under the name Triticum aestivum (bread wheat). Its description in RNAcentral is "partial small subunit ribosomal RNA". Lineage: Eukaryota; Viridiplantae; Streptophyta; Magnoliopsida; Poales; Poaceae. The record is from RNAcentral.
AUGAAGUACAAUCUUCCGCUGCUGGACCGUGACACAAGGUUUACCCUAUGGCAAGUCAAGAUGCGGGCGUUGUUGGCACAGUCCGACUAUGAUGAAGCAUUGGAUAGUUUUGGGAAGAACAGAAUUCAGGACUGGACUAAUGAGGAGAACAUAAUUGAUUGCAAGGCUUUGUCACAAAUUCAACUCCAUUUGCAUAACAAUAUUUUGCAGGAAGUUUUGAGCGAGAAAACUGCCGCCGCUCUAUGGUUAAAGCUGGAAGGGAUUUGCAUGACUAAAGAUCUCACCAGCAAGAUGCAUCUGGAGCAAAAAUUAUUCCUGCACACGUUACCCGAGGGAGGUAAUGUUUUGAACCAUAUUUCUGAAUUUAAGGAGAUUAUAUCUGAUCUAGUUGCAAUGGAGGUUAAAUAUGAAGAGGAAGAUACUUCUUUAAUGUUACUUUGUUCACUGCCAAGUUCUUAUACCAAUUUUAGAGACACCAUACUAUACAGUCCUGAUACUCUCACACUUAAUGAAGUUUAUGAAGCUUUGAACUCUAAGGAGAAGACGAAAUUAAUGGUGCCUCAUGAUGGUUCGAGUUCAUAUCAAGCCGAGGGAUUAUCUGUUCAUGGCAGGACAAAGGAGAAGAACUCCAAUAAUGGAAACAAAGGCAAAAGUAAGAACGGCCACAAGGGCCGGUCGCAAUCCAGAGACAAAAAAUAUUGCAGAUAUUGCAAGAGAGACGGGCAUGACAUCUUAGAGUGUUUCAAGUUGCAGAACAAGGAAAAGAGGAAAGGUCACAAACAAGGUGAAAAUUCUGCUAACGUUACUCAUGAUGAUAGUUACGAUGAUGCUCUUGUCGUUAUUGCUGGAUGUGCUGAGACCAAUGAUGAGUGGGUACUUGACACCGCAUGCACUUUUCAUAUGUGUCCACAUAGAGAUUGGUUUAAUACUUUUGAUUUCAUUACUUCUGCUGGUUCCGUUUUGGGUUUUGAAAAUUCACCAUGCAAGAUUAAAGGCAUAGGUUCCGUUCGAAUCAAGAUGUUUAACGGCACAAUUAGAACUUUGACAGAUGUUCGGUAUAUUUCAAAGCUGAAGAGAAAUCUUAUCUCUGUUAGUGCCCUUGAUGCAAAGGGGUAUGAGUAUUCAAGUGGAGAUAGUGUUUUGUAG